Molecule: ribosomal RNA, 253 nt
Filed under: uncultured bacterium
Lineage: Bacteria
Description: partial 16S ribosomal RNA
Rfam family: Bacterial small subunit ribosomal RNA
Source: RNAcentral
UACGGAGGGUGCUAGCGUUGUUCGGAAUUACUGGGCGUAAAGCGCACGUAGGCGGCUAUUCAAGUCGGGGGUGAAAGCCCGGGGCUCAACCCCGGAACAGCCCUCGAAACUAGAUAGCUAGAAUCUUGGAGAGGCGAGUGGAAUUCCGAGUGUAGAGGUGAAAUUCGUAGAUAUUCGGAAGAACACCAGUGGCGAAGGCGACUCGCUGGACAAGUAUUGACGCUGAGGUGCGAAAGCGUGGGGAGCAAACAGG